Long non-coding RNA from Sciurus carolinensis (gray squirrel), 1052 nucleotides. RefSeq lists it as uncharacterized. The record is from RefSeq and is a predicted model, not a curated record. The transcript is spliced from 3 exons. Lineage: Eukaryota; Metazoa; Chordata; Mammalia; Rodentia; Sciuridae.
UUGGCCCGUGCCCUGGGGUGGGAACCAGGGCAUAGUGAUAGCAACCACGUUUCAGGCGUUUCCAGGUAUCGGCUCAUUUAAUUCCACAACAGCUGGUUAUGCUGCCUACUUUGGCAGAUUUGGAAACUGGCACAGAAAGAUUGGGGGACACCCAGCCCUAGGCAAGCAGAGGAGGCACUGACGAGGCUGCAGGGAGCACACUGUCAACCUCAGAGGAGCUUGUGGUCACAUCACAGCGCAGCUUAUCACAGAAUGUUCUAGAACCAAAUAAUAAUACAGAUCCAGAUUUCAAGCAAAACUGCCGGAUCCAAUGGAGAGAAGAUAAGGAGCCCACAGAGAGGAAAGACGCUGGUGAGGAGAGACUGGAAUAAUUCUGGGCCUCCGUCCAAGGGAGCCAUCCAGGAGGGCCUGGGGGCAUGAGUGAGGCCCUUUCUGGAAGGCUGUGCUCCCAGUAUCAGGCCGGCAUCCGUUGGCCAGCGUCCACCCCGCUGCAGGCUCUGCAGAUUGCAUCCGAGAGGCAAUUCUGGUUGUGAAGGAACUGAGGCACAGAACAGCUGCAGGACCUGAAGUGGACCAGAGGCAGUGGCAGAGCUGGGGAGAGAGUCUGGUGUGUGGUCAUUUGCUGAAGUUCAGCCUGGAAGGUGAGACCCACUGCCUGUGGGUCUGCGGGGCCCUGUGGGGACACGAAGAUGCAGGGGUUCUCUGAUGAUGAAGGGGUCUCCUCACAGGCAGGCUCUGGCCUUGGCAGUGCCUCGGGCCUCUCAGAGACACCAUGGGGCCAGUUGCCAAAGAGCAUGAUGGGUACCUGGGAGCACCUGCUCCUCCAUCAGCCACUAUAGGGACUGGUAACAGCUCUGGGCUGUCCCUUCCUGAGGUGCUUGUGGAGAUGGCAUGGGGCAGGGGAGGCACCCUGCACCCUCCUUCUGGCCCCCUGGUGCAGGGGCUCUCCCUGAAGGUAGGCCUCAGCGUCUGAUCGCCAUCCUUGAUCUUCGCCGGGGUGCAGGGAGUGGCUGCUCCACCCCCACCUGUCUCCUCCUGGAGACGGCAGAGCC